Molecule: ribosomal RNA, 254 nt
Filed under: uncultured bacterium
Lineage: Bacteria
Description: partial 16S ribosomal RNA
Rfam family: Bacterial small subunit ribosomal RNA
Source: RNAcentral
UACAGAGGGUGCAAGCGUUGUUCGGAAUUACUGGGCGUAAAGGGCUCGUAGGCGGCCAACUAAGUCAGACGUGAAAUCCCUCGGCUUAACCGGGGAACUGCGUCUGAUACUGGAUGGCUUGAGUUUGGGAGAGGGAUGCGGAAUUCCAGGUGUAGCGGUGAAAUGCGUAGAUAUCUGGAGGAACACCGGUGGCGAAGGCGGCAUCCUGGACCAACACUGACGCUGAGUGAGCGAAAGCCAGGGGAGCAAACGGG